Molecule: long non-coding RNA, 1900 nt
Organism: Melitaea cinxia (Glanville fritillary)
Lineage: Eukaryota; Metazoa; Arthropoda; Insecta; Lepidoptera; Nymphalidae
Exons: 2
Source: RefSeq, a predicted model, not a curated record
AUUCCUGACUGCAGAUAAAUCUGCUGACAGAAACUUAAUAAUAUGAAAAUCGAGCAAUCGAUAAUAAACAUACAAAAAAAAAAACAUGAAAUAAGUAUUAUUUUAUAAAGUGUGUUGACUAAACGUACCUUUCGUUAAAAUAGACAUUUUUGAUCAUCCCUGACGGCAGAAAAGUCUGCUGACAGGAACGUAGAAAGGUCACAAUCAAACAAUCUAUAAUAAAAAGCGAAAAAAAAAACUUGAAAUAGGCGCAGUAAUUUAAAUACUUUUAUAUAAGCGUACCUUUCGGUUUAAAUUUCAUUAUUUUGAACCACUUCCAACCACAAUCAAGCAAUCGAAGAAAAACACACGUUCAAAAAAAAAGUGAAAUAAGCAUAGUUAUUUAAAUGUUGCUGAUUAAACGGACCUUUCAGUUAAAAUAGAAAUUUUUGAUCAUCCCUGACGGCAAAAAAGUCUGUUGACAGGAACGUUGAAAUUUCACAAACACGAAAUCGAUAAUAAACCCACAAAAAAAGAUGAAAUAAGCAUUGUUUUAUAAAGUAUGUUGAAUUAACGUACCUUUCGGUUUAAAUUGAAAUUUUGUUGAAUUUCCUUGACGGCAGGAAAGUCAGCUGACAGGAACGUAGGAAUCGAUAGUAAACACACGGAAAGGAACGUGAAAUAAGCAUAGUUAUUUAAAUGUUGUUAUAUAAAGGUACCUUUCGUUUUAAAUUGAAUAUUUUGAAAAUCUCUGACUGCAGAUAGAUCUGCUGACAGAAACUUAGAAAUAUGACAAUCGAGCAAUCGAUAAUAAAUACACACAAAAAAAAAAAAACAUGAAAUAAGCACUGUUAUAUAAAGUGUUUUGAAUAAACGUACCUUUAAGAUUAACUGAACAUUAUGAACAUCCUUGAGAAAAGUGUGCCUGAAAAGUCCUCCAGAAAAGUCUGCUGACAAGAGCGUAAAAAUUUUACAAUCAAGUAAUCGAAAAUAAUCACACGUUAAAAAAAAAGAAGUGAAAUAAGCAUCGUUAGUUAAAUGUUAUUGAUUAAACGUACCUUUCGUUUUCAAUAGAAAUUUUUGAACGUCCAUGACGGUAGAAAAAUUUGCUGACAGGAACAUAGAAAUUUCACACUACAGAAAUCGAUAAUAAUCCUACGAAAAAAUAAAAAGGAAAUAAGCAUUAUUUAAUAAAGUAUGUUGAAUAAACGUACCUUUCGGUUUAAAUUGAAAUUGUUGAAUUUCCUUAACGGCAGAAAAGUCUGCUGACUAGAGCGUAGAAAUUUCACAAUCAAGCAAUCGAUAAUAAACACACGGAAAAAUUAAUAUAAGCAUAGUGAUAUAAAGUGUGGUGAAUAACCGUACCCUCCGGUUUAAAUUGAAUAUUUUGAACAUCCUUGACGACAGAAAAAACUGCUGACAGGUACGUAAAAAUUCCACAAUCAAGGAAUCAAAAAUAAACACACGUUCAAAAAAGGUAAAAUAAGCAUAGUUAUUUAAAUCUUGUUGAUUAAACGUACCUUUCGUUUUUGAUAGAGAUUUUUGAACGUCCUUGGCGGCAGAAAAGUCUGCUGAAAGGCACGUAGAAAUUUCACAAUCCAGAAAUCGAUAAUAAAUAAACGGAAAAUAAGCGAACUAAGCAAAGAUAUAAAAAUUAUGUUUAAUAAAUGUACCUUUCAUUUUAAAUUGAAGUUAUUGAAUCUCCUUGACGGCAUAAAAGUCUGCUGACUAGAGCGUAGAAAUUUCACAAUCAAGAAAUCGAAAAUAAUCACAUGUUCAAAAAAAACGUGAAAUAAUCAUAGUUAAAUGUUGUUGAUUAAAUGUACUUUUCGUUUUCAAUAGAAAUUUUUGAACAUCCUUGAUGGCAGGAAAGCCUGCUGACAGGAACGUAGAAAUUUCACAAUCAAGCAAUUGAUAAUAA